GCCUCUUGCUCUCCCAUAAGAGGUCCAGCCUGCCCAGUGACUUAGUUCAACGGCCGCGGUACCCUAACCGUGCGAAGGUAGCGUAAUCACUUGUCUUCCAAAUAGAGACUAGUAUGAAAGGCAUCACGAGAAUUUAACUGUCUCCUUUUUCUAAUCAGUGAAACUAAUCUUCCCGUGAAGAAGCGGGAAUCCAAAAAUAAGACGAGAAGACCCUAUGGAGCUUUAAACACUAACCACCUGCCCAAUCCUAUAAGACCCCGGUUCCAAAACCAACGCAUCAUGACUACGUGUUUUUGAUUGGGGCGACCACGGAAAAUAAUCAAACCUCCGUAAUGAAAACCUACAAGCCACAGCUUUAAGUAUCAACAAAUUGACAUCCAUUGACCCAAUAUAUUGACUAAUGAACCAA
RNAcentral lists this ribosomal RNA (409 nucleotides) under Pristimantis chiastonotus group sp. ABGD cluster 88. Its description in RNAcentral is "partial large subunit ribosomal RNA". It matches the Rfam family "Bacterial large subunit ribosomal RNA", at positions 1818 to 2460 of the family's 2925-position model. The record is from RNAcentral. Lineage: Eukaryota; Metazoa; Chordata; Amphibia; Anura; Strabomantidae.